UGUCUCAAAGAUUAAGCCAUGCAUGUCUAAGUAUAAGCAACUUGUACUGUGAAACUGCGAAUGGCUCAUUAAAUCAGUUAUCGUUUAUUUGAUAGUACCUUACUACAUGGAUACCUGUGGUAAUUCUAGAGCUAAUACAUGCUAAAAACCCCGACUUCAGGAAGGGGUGUAUUUAUUAGAUAAAAAACCAACGCCCUUCGGGGCUCCUUGGUGAAUCAUAAUAACUUAACGAAUCGCAUGGCCUUGGGCCGGCGAUGGUUCAUUCAAAUUUCUGCCCUAUCAACUUUCGAUGGUAGGAUAGUGGCCUACCAUGGUGGCAACGGGUAACGGGGAAUUAGGGUUCGAUUCCGGAGAGGGAGCCUGAGAAACGGCUACCACAUCCAAGGAAGGCAGCAGGCGCGCAAAUUACCCAAUCCCGAUACGGGGAGGUAGUGACAAUAAAUACUGAUACGGGGCUCUUUUGGGUCUCGUAAUUGGAAUGAGAACAAUUUAAAUCCCUUAACGAGGAACAAUUGGAGGG
RNAcentral lists this ribosomal RNA (520 nucleotides) under uncultured fungus. Its description in RNAcentral is "SSU rRNA". It matches the Rfam family "Eukaryotic small subunit ribosomal RNA", at positions 33 to 555 of the family's 1831-position model. The record is from RNAcentral. Lineage: Eukaryota; Fungi.